GAAUUACACGUAAUACGUGUAAAAUGAAAAUUUCUGGUUGACUUUCAUGAGGAUUCAAACCUCAGAUCCACCGAUUUUGCAGUCAGAUACUCUACCUGCCGUUGUAUAUGAAAAAAAAAAAAAAACUCGUGCUGCUAUUGUUCUUAUCUCACUUUAAGCAUUGUAUUUUGUUUGCUUCUUGAGUGUGUCAUCAACAGGUUAUACAGAUGCAGCUAUUGUUUUGCUUGAAUCAAACGCCUGUUGAGUUCAAGUUGGCUUUCAAGUCAGCGAUCUAGGGGCUUUUAUGCAAUGAGGGUUGCUUAGCUGUUUAGCUCAAGGAACUUGUUUCAGUCAAAGACACCACUCUCUGGGGACUAGUUGGAUCACAGAAAGGAAAUGGCAUCACUUCUAAUGUAGCGUGAGGAAAAACAAUACGUUCCGGUCUAAGAAUCUCACAAAAAUUGAGAAGAGAAAUCUUAACCCCCAAGAAAAGUUGGUUCACCAUUCAAAGUGCUGAUUUUGGAUCAAGCCGGUGGUGUAACGAAGUAGAUGGAAACAAACAUUGUCCAUCGACUGUAAACUUUUUGGCACCGCUUAAAGCUUAUGAAGUCUACAUACUGAGCUCGUACGAUGGAGUUUAAAAGUUGUUUUCUCCAUGGUUGGAAGUUGCGGUGUUUUCUCAACAAGGAAGCAGUUUAAAAGUUGCAGUGUUUAUGCAUCAUGUGUUUGUCAACCGAGAAGCAGUUUAAAUGUGGUGGUGUCUGUGCAUUGUACAGGAGGCAAUUUAAAAGUUGCGGUGCGUGUCUAUGCAUCAUUUGCAUAUUUUCCAACAAGGAAGCAUUUUAAAAAUUCCAGUAUCUCCGCAGUUUAAAAGUUGUGGUAUCUAUGCAUCAUAUGUUUGUCACUCAGGAAGUAAUUUGAAAGUUGCAGUACAUGUCUAUGCAUCAUGUGUUUGUCAACAAGGAAGCAGUUUUAAAGUGGCUGUGUCUAUGCAUCAUUUGUUUUUAAUGAGGGAACAGUUUGAAAGUUGCGGUAUCUAUUUAUCACCUUGAUAUCAAUAAGGAAGCAGUUUGAAGUUGUAGUGUCUAUCCACCGCGUGGUUGCCAAGAAAAGGAAGCGGUGUUUUUCUCGUUGCCAUGUUCCC
This is a long non-coding RNA of Stylophora pistillata, 1123 nucleotides long. NCBI's taxonomy places the organism in Eukaryota, Metazoa, Cnidaria, Anthozoa, Scleractinia, Pocilloporidae. The record is from RefSeq and is a predicted model, not a curated record.